This 301-nucleotide ribosomal RNA is filed under the name uncultured bacterium. RNAcentral's name for it is "partial 16S ribosomal RNA". It matches the Rfam family "Bacterial small subunit ribosomal RNA", at positions 512 to 816 of the family's 1533-position model. The record is from RNAcentral.
CAGUAGCGUAAUACAGAGGGUGCGAGCGUUAAUCGGAUUUACUGGGCGUAAAGCGUGCGUAGGCGGCUUCUUAAGUCGGAUGUGAAAUCCCUGAGCUUAACUUAGGAAUUGCAUUCGAUACUGGGAAGCUAGAGUAUGGGAGAGGAUGGUAGAAUUCCAGGUGUAGCGGUGAAAUGCGUAGAGAUCUGGAGGAAUACCGAUGGCGAAGGCAGCCAUCUGGCCUAAUACUGACGCUGAGGUACGAAAGCAUGGGGAGCAAACAGGAUUAGAUACCCGGGUAGUCCCUGUCUCUUAUACACAU